AGCAGCCGCGGUAAUUCCAGCUCCAAUAGCGUAUAUUAAAGUUGUUGCAGUUAAAAAGCUCGUAGUUGAAUUUCGGGGUCUGUCCGUCGGUCGGGCUUCACGGUCCGUACUGGUGUGAUGGGUUCCUACCUUCUGAAUAGCCGGCAUGCCAUUCAUUUGGUGCGCCGGGAAGCAGAGCUAUUACCUUGAAAAAUUAGAGUGCUUAAAGCAGGCUAGUGCUUGAAUAGAUUAGCAUGGAAUAAUAAAAUAGGACGGCAUGGUUCUAUUUUGUUGGUUUCUAGGAUCACCGUAAUGAUUAAUAGGGAUAGUUGGGGGCAUUAGUAUUCAAUUGUCAGAGGUGAAAUUCUUGGAUUUAUUGGAAGACUAACUUCUGCGAAAGCAUUUGCCAAGGAUGUUUUCAUUAAUCAAG
Molecule: unclassified non-coding RNA, 409 nt
Filed under: uncultured Ambispora
Lineage: Eukaryota; Fungi; Glomeromycota; Glomeromycetes; Archaeosporales; Ambisporaceae
Description: SSU rRNA
Rfam family: Eukaryotic small subunit ribosomal RNA
Source: RNAcentral